Molecule: ribosomal RNA, 777 nt
Filed under: uncultured bacterium
Lineage: Bacteria
Description: bacterial SSU rRNA
Rfam family: Bacterial small subunit ribosomal RNA
Source: RNAcentral
AGAGUUUGAUCCUGGCUCAGAACGAACGCUGGCGGCGUGCCUAACACAUGCAAGUCGAACGAGAAAGUUUCUUCGGAAACGAGUAAAGUGGCGCACGGGUGAGUAACACGUGAAUAAUCUGCCUUCGAGACUGGGAUAACUUGACGAAAGUUAAGCUAAUACCAGAUAAGACCACGCUUCACAAGGAGUGCGGGAAAAGGGAUCUCAAAUCCUGCUCGUAGAUGAGUUCGCGUACCAUUAGCUUGUUGGUGAGAUAAAAGCUCACCAAGGCGACGAUGGUUAGCCGGCCUGAGAGGGUGAUCGGCCACACUGGAACUGAGACACGGUCCAGACUCCUACGGGAGGCAGCAGUGGGGAAUCUUGCGCAAUGGGCGAAAGCCUGACGCAGCAACGCCGCGUGAGCGAUGAAGGCCUUCGGGUCGUAAAGCUCUGUCAAGUGGGAAGAACACAAUGACGGUACCACUAGAGGAAGCCCCGGCUAACUUCGUGCCAGCAGCCGCGGUAAUACGAAGGGGGCAAGCGUUGUUCGGAAUUAUUGGGCGUAAAGCGUAUGUAGGUGGUUUAUCAAGUCAGACGUGCAAGCCCUCGGCUCAACCGAGGAAUUGCGUUUGAAACUGAUAGACUUGAGUGUAGGAGAGGAAAGCGGAACUCCCAGUGUAGCGGUGAAAUGCGUUGAUAUUGGGAAGAACACCGGUGGCGAAAGCGGCUUUCUGGCCUGCUACUGACACUGAGAUACGAAAGCCAGGGGAGCAAAGGGGAUUAGAUACCCCCGUAGUC